Molecule: long non-coding RNA, 1097 nt
Filed under: Homo sapiens (human)
Lineage: Eukaryota; Metazoa; Chordata; Mammalia; Primates; Hominidae
Description: HSALNT0034680
Source: RNAcentral
GUUCAGAGAGAAAGUAGAGUAGCCAAUAAAAAUGAGUGUCAUGAUUAAACCUAAUAUGGUCUCUUUGUUAUAGGUUCAUGUAAACACACACACACAGAGUAUAUAAUUGGCCUUUGAACAAAGGGGCUUUGAACUAUGCAGGUCUGCCUAUACACAGAUUUUCUUCCAUCUCUGCCACCUUUGAGAUCAUAAGACCAACCUCUCCUCUUCCUCCUUCUCCUCAGCUACUCAGUAUGAAGAGGACAAGGAUGAAGACCUUUAUGAUUAUCCUCUUCCACUUCAUGAAUUACUGUGACUAAGUUGGUUGGAGGUUGUAACACCAUCAUUCCAUUGCCUCUCGCUGCUCUGCUGUUGCUUUCCACCAGCGUAAAAUCAAUUAAGGCCUCGUGAAAUGUGGAGCAGAGAAUUGGAUAGCCAUGUCAUGCCUACACAACUGUGAAAUAAGGAUCCUGCACACACCCUAGAGAUUAGUGGAAAGUAAACUCAGCGGAGCGUCUGGAACACCUCCACUAACUUCUUAAAAGAUGCUGCUGAUUCACUGAUUCUCAAAAAUUAUAAUUCAAUUUUCUCAGCUUUUAUCCUGUAACAAUCAAUUUGUAUAGUAAAUGAAAGCCAAAAGCAUAUUCGUUUUAUUUACAAGGAUGAUAAAAUAGAAACAUCAUUCAUCUAUUUCCAUUCCUGAACUUUCAUGCCUGAUUCCUCUUUAUACUCACUUUCAUCCUCUGUGGAUACUUUAAUAUCCAUUUUAAUCCCUCUGUGAGAAAUUCUGCUAAAUUACUUUACUCUGUAGGGUCAGAGUAUUCAAGAUAAAACAUUCCUGGAAAAAUGUAUUUCUACCAGGAAAAGACAGACUUAAAAAAGGAGGGGGAGACAGCAGGGUUAGAGGAAAACUGUGUGCCCACACUUUAGUAGAAAUUACCGAAACCACAGCAUGCAUGGGGAAAUCUCCUUCUAUGGAUGAAUUACUAUAAUUGGUUCUCUAUAUUACUUGAAUUUUUCAUUUGGGCUUUUAAGCUAUAUUUAGAUAAAAGAAUUUGGGAAAUAUUAAGCUGUACUGCCACAAAUAUGAAUCAAAUAAAACUAUAUUUCUAAAAACC